This 216-nucleotide ribosomal RNA is filed under the name Glomeromycotina sp. RNAcentral's name for it is "partial small subunit ribosomal RNA". The stretch from base 47 to 216 matches the Rfam family "Eukaryotic small subunit ribosomal RNA", at positions 693 to 864 of the family's 1831-position model. The record is from RNAcentral. Lineage: Eukaryota; Fungi; Glomeromycota.
GGGUCAGUAGGUUGGUCGUGCCACCGGUACGUACUGGUCUCACUGGUUCCUCCUUCCUGAAGAACCGUAAUGCCAUUAAUUUGGUGUUGCGGGGAAACAGGACUGUUACUUUGAAAAAAUUAGAGUGUUUAACGCAAGCUAACGCUUGAAUACAUUAGCAUGGAAUAAUGAAAUAGGACGAUCGAUCCUAUUUUGUUGGUUUCUAGGAUUGACGUA